This 490-nucleotide ribosomal RNA is filed under the name uncultured bacterium. RNAcentral's name for it is "partial 16S ribosomal RNA". It matches the Rfam family "Bacterial small subunit ribosomal RNA", at positions 30 to 507 of the family's 1533-position model. The record is from RNAcentral.
AUUGAACGCUGGCGGCAGGCCUAACACAUGCAUGUCGAACGGUAACAGGAAGCAGCUUGCUGCUUUGCUGACGAGUGGCGGACGGGUGAGUAAUGUCUGGGAAACUGCCCGAUGGAGGGGGAUAACUACUGGAAACGGUAGCUAAUACCGCAUAACGUCGCAAGACCAAAGAGGGGGACCUUAGGGCCUCUUGCCAUCGGAUGUGCCCAGAUGGGAUUAGCUAGUAGGUGGGGUAACGGCUCACCUAGGCGACGAUCCCUAGCUGGUCUGAGAGGAUGACCAGCCACACUGGAACUGAGACACGGUCCAGACUCCUACGGGAGGCAGCAGUGGGGAAUAUUGCACAAUGGGCGCAAGCCUGAUGCAGCCAUGCCGCGUGUAUGAAGAAGGCCUUCGGGUUGUAAAGUACUUUCAGCGGGGAGGAAGGGAGUAAAGUUAAUACCUUUGCUCAUUGACGUUACCCGCAGAAGAAGCACCGGCUAACUCCGUG